Non-coding RNA from Biomphalaria pfeifferi, 1019 nucleotides. The record is from the annotation of a GenBank genome assembly. Lineage: Eukaryota; Metazoa; Mollusca; Gastropoda; Planorbidae.
AUAAUACAAUCUGCCCCCCCCCCCUCUCUUUUUUUUUUGCCUCACUCUUUUUAAUAGCCUAACAUCUUGUGAUAAAGACAUGAUUUCCACUCACUCCCCAAUAGCUCAUAGCAACAAAAAAAAACUUGAAGCCAGUCAAUGUCUUUAUCAAAAUUUUCUUUUUAUUUAAUUAUUACCGUGUCGAUCUAUCAACAAUUCUAAUUUGAUACUAUAUAAAUAAAUUAUAUAAUUAUAUUGCCAUACUCUGUUGACCACUUCAAUACUUAUGGUUUAGUUUAUGCUCAAUUCCUUUUUAAAGUGGUUUGAUUUAUCUUUCAACAUACAGUGAGAAAAUGACACUUUUAUGCCCAGAGCUAUUCCAUGGUUGUCAGCAUUUCUCACGCACACAAGUUGAUUUUAAAAUAUUCCCAUUUAUUAGUUCAUGUAUCCUAUGCCUUUAACUUGACUCUGUGUGUUUGGGUUUAACAUAAAGUAUUACAUAUAAUGUAUUGAAAGUAUUACAUACAAUGUCUUUUAUUAGGUUUUUUUUUAUGUACUAUUUCUUGUAUGAGAUGAUUAUUAUAUCAAUACAACAACAAGGUUCUUAGGUUCCCACUUGACAAACAUAUUUAUCUCACUGUUAGACAGAAAGCACUGAACUAUGUAGAGGAAGAUUUAAAAUCAAAUUAUACAUUUUUGAAAUCAAAUAGUGAUGAAGUUGAUGAUGAAGUACACUAAGUAAAUGUGUAGAAUCACUGACAAGUAAGUCUUGCAGGGGCCUGAGUGGCAGGGAUCAUUUUCCUGACAAUACAGUUCAAUCAAAAACUAAUCAUGGAAGUGGGUGUAAUCUUUCAGAACACAUCAAUUACAAGAUAAUAGCUUAUUGUACAAGUAACUUUUGCUUCAUUACUCACAACAAGAAUAUGUUUACAAUAUAUACACUAUCAUUCUCAUUUCUGUUCAGUUCAAUUUGAAAAGUUUGUAAUAAUUUUUUUUAAAAAGUAAAAAAAUGAAAAUUAAAUAUAUAAAAAAAAAUGAAC